RNAcentral lists this transfer RNA (65 nucleotides) under Iassus dorsalis. RNAcentral's name for it is "tRNA-Tyr". The record is from RNAcentral. Lineage: Eukaryota; Metazoa; Arthropoda; Insecta; Hemiptera; Cicadellidae.
AUUAAGGUGUCUGAUUUAUAGGUGGUAAAUUGUAAAUUUAUUUAAGAAAAUUUUUUCUCUUAAUA